AUUGAACGCUGGCGGCAUGCUUUACACAUGCAAGUCGAACGGCAGCGCGGGCUUCGGCCUGGCGGCGAGUGGCGAACGGGUGAGUAAUACAUCGGAACGUGCCCAGUAGUGGGGGAUAGCUCGGCGAAAGCCGGAUUAAUACCGCAUACGACCUGAGGGUGAAAGCGGGGAUCUUUGGGCCUCGCGCCUUUGGGGCGGCCGAUGGCAGAUUAGCUAGUUGGUGGGGUAAAGGCCUACCAAGGCGACGAUCUGUAGCUGGUCUGAGAGGACGACCAGCCACACUGGGACUGAGACACGGCCCAGACUCCUACGGGAGGCAGCAGUGGGGAAUUUUGGACAAUGGGCGAAAGCCUGAUCCAGCAAUGCCGCGUGUGUGAUGAAGGCCUUCGGGUUGUAAAGCACUUUUGGCGGGAACGAAAAGGACUGUGCCAAUACCACGGUUCGAUGACGGUACCCGCAGAAUAAGCACCGGCUAACUACGUG
RNAcentral lists this ribosomal RNA (483 nucleotides) under uncultured bacterium. Its description in RNAcentral is "partial 16S ribosomal RNA". It matches the Rfam family "Bacterial small subunit ribosomal RNA", at positions 29 to 507 of the family's 1533-position model. The record is from RNAcentral.